CUCCACCUUGGCGGGAUGUGCAGGUGAAGUGCUCCAGCUCUGAGGACGAAUCCUGGAAGAGAAAACCUGAUCCCAGGGCAUGAAGAAGGAGGAAAAGGAUGCAGGAAAGAAUUUAAGAGGCAAAGUGGAUGUGAUAAAGGAACGAGAAGAUCAUGAGAAAAGAUGAAAAAGAGAACAGUGACUGACCCAUGUCAUGAAGCAUCAGUUUCUAAACUUUGCUGUAUGCAGGCUCAAUGUGACGCACGGUGGGUGGUUACCAUGGCAUAGGAAAACAUUGCCAGCGCUGGCCCUGUCGUCAUGGAACCCCUGGGCCAUCUCCUGAGAAACUUGGCAUCCCUCUUCAGGAAGGAGCUUCCUGUGUUUUCUCUGGGAACUCACCUGUUUUCCACUCCAGACUCUCCAAGAUAUGCAGAGCUUUGGGCCAGGAUCCUACAGCCACGGGUCAUGCAGAGCCAGUUGGCCACAUCCUUUGGGCCAAAUUUGGUCCUAACCAGGUCUUACCACGGUAACUGCUAACCAGUCCAUCUUCAGUUAAUAUUUCAUGCGUAAGAUGUUUCAUGAAGUAACUGAAUGGGCUAAUGGGUUGUUCACUGGAUAAGACUCCCAGAUACUCCCUUUCAUGCCAUUCCCCAGAAUUCCUUCACCUCCCAGUGCUGUCUGUAAGGGUGAAGAUACUCCAUUUUGCCCCAUGCUCUUUGCUGUGCCCCAGAUAGGCUCAAACAUUUUUCCCUUUUGGGGAUUUUGCAGGUAGGAAUUGUUGAACAUCUUACCAUUUAAUCCAGAAGUUAUGUCCUUUAAGGAAUCGACCCUGAGCCUGUGAGUUUUACUUUGGGUUGGGGGUGAAGGAGUGGACCUUGCAGCAUUCAAGGUCAUCCAAGAUCAUCCAGUUAAGGCCCCUAAGGUCACUACGGGGGGAAAAGCCUGGUGAGGGAAGAGAAAGCAUUAGGGGGAGCUGCACCGUGCUGAGAAAUAACACCACACAGAAGUCUGUGUUCUAAUCUCAGCUCUGCUUUGCAUUACUGUGUGACCUGGAGCUGAUCACAGCCCUCUGAGUCUUAAAGGGGUUGGACAAGGCCAACUAAACAUUAGAAACACCUGAAAGUGCUGGUUAAAAGGAAGAAUGCAUGAGCUUCACUCCAGAUUUACUAUAUCAGAAUUUCCAGGGUCAGGGUCCAAGAAUCUGCAUGUUUAAUACGCUUUCCACAUGAUUUUUCCCCCCUCUGGACUUAAGAAAACAAUGGGCAAGUCAGCUCAUGAAGAACUUUUCAGAUAUUCAGACUAUUAUUCUGAGAGAGAAAAUAUUGGCAGAGAACAGAUGGGAUUUUUCUCAAGGAAAAGAAAUGGAAAUCCUACAUCUUGCAAGAAAUAGAAAAAAAUAAAUAAACUGUUUGAAGAAGAAUCACAUCAGGCUGGCAGGAGAGAGCCUGCGGCUCGGUGUCUGACCCAGAAUGUUAAAGCCAGCCUGGCUUGGCUCCAGGAUAAAGGACACUCUGUCAGCCUCUCCACAUUGAUUCAUCUCCCCAGCCCCAAGAUCAGGAGAGCAUUCUGUUCCUUGAAGCAUUUUAUGACUGUAAGUCAGAAGUGCUGCAGUUUUAAUAAAAAGCUGUAUUGUCCUGAUCUUGUGCAAUAUACUGAACUAUCAUUUUCCAACUGUUGGCUUGCAUACUGGUUUGUGUGAGUAAGCCCGUCCAUCCACAUCACUAAAAGAUAGUAGUAGUAACAACAAUGAC
RNAcentral lists this long non-coding RNA (1730 nucleotides) under Homo sapiens (human). RNAcentral's name for it is "HSALNT0227502". Lineage: Eukaryota; Metazoa; Chordata; Mammalia; Primates; Hominidae. The record is from RNAcentral.